AGUGAACGCUGGCGGUAGGCCUAACACAUGCAAGUCGAACGGCAGCACAGUAAGAGCUUGCUCUUACGGGUGGCGAGUGGCGGACGGGUGAGGAAUACAUCGGAAUCUACUUUUUCGUGGGGGAUAACGUAGGGAAACUUACGCUAAUACCGCAUACGACCUACGGGUGAAAGCAGGGGAUCUUCGGACCUUGCGCGAUUGAAUGAGCCGAUGUCGGAUUAGCUAGUUGGCGGGGUAAAGGCCCACCAAGGCGACGAUCCGUAGCUGGUCUGAGAGGAUGAUCAGCCACACUGGAACUGAGACACGGUCCAGACUCCUAAGGGAGGCGGCAGUGGGGAAUAUUGGACAAUGGGCGCAAGCCUGAUCCAGCCAUACCGCGUGGGUGAAGAAGGCCUUCGGGUUGUAAAGCCCUUUUGUUGGGAAAGAAAAGCAGCAGGUUAAUACCCCGCUGUUCUGACGGUACCCAAAGAAUAAGCACCGGCUAACUUCGUG
Molecule: ribosomal RNA, 492 nt
Filed under: uncultured bacterium
Lineage: Bacteria
Description: partial 16S ribosomal RNA
Rfam family: Bacterial small subunit ribosomal RNA
Source: RNAcentral